UCGGGCCUUCCCGCAGCCGCCCGGUUUUCGCAAAGACAUUUUGUCCAAGCGCUGC
This 55-nucleotide non-coding RNA is filed under the name unclassified sequences. RNAcentral's name for it is "chromate-resist RNA". It matches the Rfam family "chrB-b RNA". The record is from RNAcentral.